Molecule: RNA transcript, 1933 nt
Organism: Schistocerca nitens (vagrant locust)
Lineage: Eukaryota; Metazoa; Arthropoda; Insecta; Orthoptera; Acrididae
Gene name: speckle targeted PIP5K1A-regulated poly(A) polymerase-like
Exons: 10
Source: RefSeq, a predicted model, not a curated record
ACGAGCUCGAUGGAAAUACUUUAACUUCGGUUGAAAUUGUUAUACGUUUGAAGAAAUUAAGACAGAAAGAAACGUAUACGCCGGCUUGUCAGAGUUAAUCGAUAUAAAGCUACAAGUACAAACAGAUGUUUGUAUACUGUGUUUUGUAGUAGUUUUAUGGAAUGGGUAGCUGGUAGCUGCUUGGAUGUGAGAUUGAGGAGAUGAAUGUAACUACAGUUCUUGUAACUAGCGAUAUUUUAUAACUUAAACUUGUAAUAAAUUAGGAAAUGGUAUAUAUUGAUUUAAAUAGCAUGUGAUUUGAGGUAUUCCCCGUAAAGAUGGCAAGUAGCCAAAGUCAUUUACUGGGGCUUGAAGGAAGGACGGUGCUACUAAUUUUGUGUGAACACCCGUUAGGAUUUAUUUGAUCUAUCAUUUUCUGUACUUCGUGGGCUACUGAAAGACGUAACAUACUACAAGAACAAAAUGAGUCAGGGAGCAGGAGAUGCCGUUCCUCGCAUCUUAUUAAAAGAGGUUCCGAAAGGUGCAAAGAUAAUUGAUAUAUAUUGGGGACUUCAGAAAUUCGGUAUUAUUACGUACAUUGGACUUGGCAAUGACAAUGCUGUAAUAGAGUUUGCAGACAGGAUCUCAGUUGGUAAAGUAUUGUCGAGCCACCCAGUUCGAGUGAAAACGAAUACAGUGCGUGCUUCACAUGAGCCCGAAUGGAAGUCCAUUUCGGGACUGGUCAACAUGCACGAGACAUUUACACUAGAUCCAGACAUAAAGGCAGUCUUGAAGAAUGAGGACUCUUUUAACCAGAAAAUUGCCGAUCUGGUUAGUACGGCCGAUAAAUUGACUUUGGACUUUGAUGAUGGCAUCGAUGAUGGUGCCGGCAGUCGGGAACGUCAUCCGGUGUGUGCCGUGCUAGAGAGGAUACUUCCUGACGAGUUAGUUCCCAACGUGAGAGUGUACCCAUUUGGCUCUCGUGUCUCUGGUACUGCUCUGGAGACAAGUGACCUCGACAUCUUCAUAGACUGUGGUGACACGUUCUACGGCGAGUAUGUCCCGAACGUGGAGGAACUGGUAUCCAUUGUGCAGACCGUGAAACGACAGCUAGCUAAGGCAUGGCCCGAGUUCAACCACGUGACGGCCAUUCCCAGGGCACGUGUGCCCAUCGUCAAGUUCCUCCACUGUCCCAGCAACACGCGCUGUGACGCAGCCUUCACGAAUGGCAUCGGUUGCCGCAAUGCUCGGCUGUUGAGAUUUGUGAUGUCUCUGGACAACCGCAUCCGGCCCCUCCUGUUGUUCCUCAAGCGCUGGGUUUACAGCAUAGACUUGACGCCAGUAGCCAGGAACUCGCCGAGACCGGAGCUGACGUCCCAUGCUCUCGCUAUGGUCACCUUCACCUUCCUACAGACGGUGAAGCCUCCCAUCCUGCCUCCCAUAAAGGGUAUAAAGGAAGCUGCGGACUACAGCAUCAAGGUUGCAGGUUGGGAAACCGCAUUUUGCAACAACAGAGAACAGUUCCGCAUCACAGAUCCCCACGACAGGCGGUCUGUCCGUGAACUGCUGCUGGGCUUCCUGCAGUGCUUCCAGCGGAUCGACUGGCAGAAGAUGGCAGCAUCUCCGCUGGAUGGAGCGUUCGUGUCACGCCAGUCGGUGCCGCGCAUCGUGCCUACGAAAUCUGCGGCGAUGGUGGUUCUCGACCCGUUCAACCUGAGUCGAAACCUGACCGUGAACGUCAGUGACGUGGCACUGUGUCGACUCUGCGCGACCAGUGCGUUGACAGUGAGGGAGAUGACUUCUCGCUGAUGGCAAAUGUGCAGUCCGUAGCAGAACAUCUGGGAGUCACAGAAGUUGAAGAGGUGCACCUAGAGGAAUACAAGUGCAGCACCAGUGACUUCCAAUUUUGUUUUUUGGUCAAGCCGAGCACCAAAGCAUCUUGUGACUGUGUGAU